This is a non-coding RNA of Loxodonta africana (African savanna elephant), 86 nucleotides long. Lineage: Eukaryota; Metazoa; Chordata; Mammalia; Proboscidea; Elephantidae. The record is from Rfam.
UGCCUGCUUCUGUAUGAUAUGUUUGAUAUUGGGUUGUUUAAUUAGGAGCCAACUAAAUGUCAAACAUAUUCUUACAGCAGUUGGCA